ACCUUUUCUCCCUAUAAGAAGAACAGAUCGCAGAGAAGAAAAAAAAAUCAGAGCUUCGAAACAUAAUUUAGAUAGAGAAAAAUAUUAUCAAGUCCUAUUAUUCUGAUCAAUCUUUUUAGUUCAACUAUCAUGGCAUCCAAUGACACUCUGUUAAACAAGGAAACUGAACAGGUGACGGUGGAUACAGUAGAUCAUAGAACAUACUCAGCAGGAGAACAUGGAGAAGAAAAGACUACAACUGAAAACAUCCAAGUCGUUCAUGAACAAGUAGUACCUCCUCCUCAACACGAUGAACACAGCAAGGUGGAUAGUGAUGCUGCCGCCCCUGCCCAUGCUGCCACCCCAGGUAUCUUUGCUGGUGCUGCAGCCUCAAUAGCAAGUACUUAUCAGUCUGCUAAAGACUUUGCUUUCUCAUCAACUACUAAUAAUACCCACAACACCGAUGAGGACACUUUACGUUAAUUCGUCUUUGUUUAACUUGGUUUGUGUGUGUUUGUAAUCUGCUUAGUAGUUCAUAGCCCACAAGAAUGAAAAAAAAAGGGGUUAUGGUUUCAAUUAAGCUUGCAAUUAAGUUAUCUGUUGGAUUUUAGUUAGUUUACCUGAUUUAUGAUGAUCUUGGUGGUUGUUACCUUCCUAAUUAAAAAAACAUUAUUAAGCCAAUGAAGUACUGUUGGUGAUAAAUUUGUUCAAAAUGUUGUUUAUUUAUUUUUCCUGUCGUUUUCGUUUUUUUAUGGAUAAGAAUGAACAGAAAUCACCGACCACAAAGAAGUCGCACCUAGAUGCCAAUUUUCUUUAUGAGUCAUGACCAUGACGAGGACCCAAAAAUGUAUCGAGUCUGAAAUAUCUUUACUCUAGUCAUUAGUGCUACUUAUCUUCCCUUAAUUCGUUCUUACUCCCUUAUCUAUAGUUCUAUACUUAUCUUUCUAUUGUUUUAAAGUUGCUACUUUAUUAUCAGUGGAUCGAAUGGCAAGUUGUAAUAUCUUAAUAAAGUAGCUUCUUUAUUAAGAUAUCAAAUAAUAAACAAGAUAUUAUCAUCAAUUUAAUCAUAUAAAUUUGAUGGAAUGGCAAAUAGUAACCACAUCCAAAUUCGUUUAUUCAUCAAAUGAAAUUACCCUUCGGGAGCGGGCUCAUGACAACCAUGUCCAACAACAUUCACGUGUCACCUCGACUCCUCGUAGGACUCGUGACCGACCGGAAGCCUAUCCAUCCAUCUAGUACUUGAGAAGUGGAGUGCUGCUGACUGUUUCCAAGGGUAAAGUAGACUAAAGCUCAAUCGAAGACAAAAUCACAAGAUAAUGAUGAAGAGUAACAAUCCUUAGGUGAUUCUGCUGUUACUAUGUACCUUUAUCACUUCAUCCGUAGUAGCAACAUCAGAUUCAUGCAAAGCUUACCCAUCAGAAUCAUGUAAAGCUUGGAACACUGUUGAUGAAGAAUUAGUUCCAGAGAGAAGGGAAGUACAUGGAGGAGGAAGAAUAUUUGAUAUUAGUCAUACUUAUAGAACCACUAUGCCUUCUUGGGGAUCUACAGAAGGAUUAGGUCAGUUUUUAUGGUUACCUGCUAGUAUCAAAAAUGGAUCUCUUGCUAAUAAUUCUGAGAUGAAGUUGCCUACUCAUACUGGUACUCAUGUUGAUGCACCUGGUCAUGUUUUUGAUCAUUAUUUUGAUGCUGGAUUUGAUGUUGAUACACUUGAUCUUGAGGUUCUCAAUGGUCCAGCUUUCUUAGUUGAUGUUCCAAGGAACAGUAAUAUAACUGCUGAAGUUAUGAAAUCCUUACAUAUUCCCAAAGGAGUUAAGCGCGUGCUUUUCAGAACAUUAAACACCGACAGGAAGCUCAUGUGGAAAACAGAGUUUGACACGAGCUAUGUUGGAUUUAUGAAGGAUGGCGCAAAAUGGCUGGUCGAGAAUACUGACAUCAAGCUAGUUGGAAUUGAUUACUUAUCUGCUGCUGCUUAUGACGAUCUGCUUCCUUCUCACUAUGUUUUUCUAGAAGGCAGGGAGAUCAUUCUUGUGGAAGGGUUAAAAUUGGAUGACAUCGAGGCAGGGUUAUACAAUGUGCAUUGCUUACCUCUAAGGUUACUAGGUGCUGAGGGAUCCCCACUACGAUGCAUUCUCAUAAAAUGAUGAGUCAGUCUUUGUGAGCAUGUUUGAGGAGCUGUUGUAAUUCUUAUUUCUGCAAAAAUGAGCGUUUCCGCAGUUUGAAGCCAAAUUAGCAGCAUCCUAAAGGCACGGAGCAGGAUUAGGUUAGCACGUAUUUGCUUAAGAGAGAACAAUUCACAAGGUCUAAAGGUACCGCAAGAGAUAACUAGUGUACAGCGCAGAUAUAUUCAUCCACCACGAGCUUUGAGUCCAGUUCAAAAUAAAACUCCUGCAUUUCCAGUUCUCUUGCCCACUUAACAGCCUCCCAUAAACCACUGCACUCUGCAUGCUCCGGACUAGAUGAUUCAGCUAGACAGAUACACUUCGAUCCUCUGUGAUGACCUGCAAAAUCACGGAUAAUGAGACCAGUGCCACCAGAGUUAUCACGAUAAGAAUCAUCAGAAUUAAAAGUAAAAACUCCAUUUGGAGGUGGAGACCAAUGCAAAUUAUUUCUAAUUUGCCUAUGUUGUUGGUAGGGGUGUAAAUUCGGGCAGGCCGGGCCGCCCGA
Molecule: RNA transcript, 2643 nt
Organism: Papaver somniferum (opium poppy)
Lineage: Eukaryota; Viridiplantae; Streptophyta; Magnoliopsida; Ranunculales; Papaveraceae
Gene name: cyclase-like protein 2
Exons: 9
Source: RefSeq, a predicted model, not a curated record